CAGAAUGAAAAUUCUCUGGGGCUUAUGCCUACCACCUCCAGACUCUAAUUACACUAGGAGAAACCAAUGUUGCUGCAGAAUGCUUGAGUUAGCAUUUCCUGACUUUGCUGCCGUGUAGAGAAUUUGCAUGUGUGGACAUUGCUUUGGAUCCCUCUGGAUCAGAAGUUCCCUUGUGGGCCCACUGUGAAGAUGAAUUGCUAAACGAAUUGUGAUACAGCCACACAAUGGACUACUGCUCAGCAAUAAAAAGGAAUGAACUAUUGAUAUGCCCAACAACGUAGAUGAACCUCAAAACCGUUAUGGAAACAAUUGAAGAACACAGUCCUUCAAAAUGAUGGAAUAGACCAACAAAAAGAAGGAGUCAUGGAAAAGAACACAGUCUCCAGGAAAUAGCAUCCAACAGGCACAGAUAAUCUCCAGGAUGGUUGUAAGGGGAGGGUCCUAGUAGGAAACCUGUACAGACUGGUGUAGAAUGAUAGAAGGCAUGUCUUUAGGAAGACAAAACCAAAAAAAAUAUGACAUAACUAU
Molecule: long non-coding RNA, 528 nt
Filed under: Homo sapiens (human)
Lineage: Eukaryota; Metazoa; Chordata; Mammalia; Primates; Hominidae
Description: HSALNT0200071
Source: RNAcentral